Bacillus sp. VT-16-64 is the source of this 30-nucleotide non-coding RNA. The record is from Rfam. NCBI's taxonomy places the organism in Bacteria, Bacillati, Bacillota, Bacilli, Caryophanales, Bacillaceae.
GUUUCAAUUCCUCAUAGGUAAGAUUCAAAC